UCAAGUAGAAAAGGGCGCAUGGUGAAUGCCUAGGCACUAGAAGCCGAUGAAGGACGUGACGAACCACGAAAGGCUUCGGGGAGCAGUAAGUAAGCGAUGAUCCGGAGAUAUCCGAAUGGGGGAACCCAAUACCGCGAGGUAUUAUCAAGAGCUGUUAAGGCUGUUGAAGGAAGACGCAGUGAACUGAAACAUCUAAGUAGCUGCAGGAAGAGAAAGAAAAAUCGAUUUCCCAAGUAGCGGCGAGCGAACAGGAAAGAGCCCAAACCAGCUGGCUUGCCAGUUGGGGUAGUAGGACUGCAAUAAAGUACUUGAAGCGAUAGCAGAAUUAUCUGGAAAGAUAAGCCAGAGAGGGUGAGAGCCCCGUAAGCGAAAUUGCAGAGAGACUUAGCAGGAUCCUGAGUAGGUCGGGACACGAGGAAUCCCGAUUGAAACCGCGAGGACCAUCUCGCAAGGCUAAAUACUAACUAGUGACCGAUAGUGAACCAGUACCGUGAGGGAAAGGUGAAAAGAACCCCGGAAGGGGAGUGAAAGAGAACCUGAAACCGUGUGCCUACAAGUAGUCAAAGCACAUUAAAGUGUAAUGGCGUGCCUUUUGUAGAAUGAACCGGCGAGUUACGUUAUGGUGCAAGGUUAAGUCAGAAAAGACGGAGCCGGAGCGAAAGCGAGUCUGAAGAGGGCGAGAGAGUAUCAUGACGUAGACCCGAAACCAAGUGACCUACCCAUGACCAGGUUGAAGGCGUGGUAAAACACGCUGGAGGACCGAACCCACGUGAGUUAAAAAUCGCGGGGAUGAGUUGUGGGUAGCGGUGAAAUUCCAAACGAACUUGGAGAUAGCUGGUUCUCUCCGAAAUAGCUUUAGGGCUAGCCUCGUGUGAAUGAUAAUGGAGGUAGAGCGCUGUUUGGACUAGGGGCCCGUCAGGGGUUACUGAAUCCAGAUAAACUCCGAAUGCCAGAUAUCAAUGCACGGGAGUCAGACUGCGAGUGAUAAGAUCCGUAGUCGAAAGGGAAACAGCCCAGAUCACCAGUUAAGGUCCCCAAAUCUAUGCUAAGUGGAAAAGGAUGUGGAGUUGCGUAGACAACUAGGAUGUUGGCUUAGAAGCAGCCACCAUUUAAAGAGUGCGUAAUAGCUCACUAGUCGAGUGACGCUGCGCCGAAAAUGUACCGGGGCUAAGCAUAGUACCGAAACUGUGGAUGCAUAUCAAAGGAUAUGCGUGGUAGGAGAGCGUUCUAAGUGCGGAGAAGUUAGAUCGAGAGGACUAAUGGAGCGCUUAGAAGUGAGAAUGCCGGUAUGAGUAGCGAAAGAUAGGUGAGAAUCCUAUCCGCCGAAAGACUAAGGUUUCCUGGGGCAGGCUCGUCCGCCCAGGGUAAGUCGGGACCUAAGGUAAGGCCGAGAGGCGUAGCCGAUGGACAACAGGUAGAGAUUCCUGUACUGAAAUUGUUCGAUAAGAGCAAAGGAGGGACGCAGGAGGCUAAUGACGCAUGUAGCAGGAAAAACAUGUGCAAGCAGUAAGAAAAAAGAUGAGUCAAAUGCUUAUUUUUAGAUUUCAAGCUGUGACGCGGAGUGAAAUCAAAGUAGCGAAGGUCAUGAUGUCACACUGCCAAGAAAAGCUUCUAGCCAGAGCAAUUUUACCCGUACCGCAAACCGACACAGGUAGUCGAGUGGAGAACACUCAGGUGAGCGAGAGAACUCUCGUUAAGGAACUCGGCAAAAUGACCCCGUAACUUCGGGAGAAGGGGUGCUGAUGGUAAAAGAUCAGCCGCAGUGAAUAGGCCCAAACAACUGUUUAUCAAAAACACAGGUAUCUGCAAAAUCGUAAGAUGACGUAUAGGUGCUGACACCUGCCCGGUGCUGGAAGGUUAAGAGGAGAGCUUAGCGCAAGCGAAGGUUUGAAUUGAAGCCCCAGUAAACGGCGGCCGUAACUAUAACGGUCCUAAGGUAGCGAAAUUCCUUGUCAGGUAAGUUCUGACCCGCACGAAAGG
RNAcentral lists this ribosomal RNA (1980 nucleotides) under human gut metagenome. Its description in RNAcentral is "bacterial LSU rRNA". It matches the Rfam family "Bacterial large subunit ribosomal RNA", at positions 3 to 1999 of the family's 2925-position model. The record is from RNAcentral.